RNAcentral lists this ribosomal RNA (502 nucleotides) under uncultured bacterium. Its description in RNAcentral is "partial 16S ribosomal RNA". It matches the Rfam family "Bacterial small subunit ribosomal RNA", at positions 28 to 523 of the family's 1533-position model. The record is from RNAcentral.
GAUGAACGCUAGCGGCAGGCCUAACACAUGCAAGUCGAGGGGCAGCACAGAAACAGCAAUGUUUUGGUGGCGACCGGCGGACGGGUGCGUAACGCGUAUGCAACCUACCUUUAACAGGGGGAUAACGGAGAGAAAUUUCCACUAAUACCCCAUAACAUCGAUCAAGGCAUCUUGAUUGGUUGAAAACUCCGGUGGUUAAAGAUGGGCAUGCGUUGUAUUAGGUAGUUGGUGAGUUAAUGGCUCACCAAGCCUACGGUACAUAGGGGGACUGAGAGGUUAGCCCCCCACACUGGUACUGAGACACGGACCAGACUCCUACGGGAGGCAGCAGUGAGGAAUAUUGGUCAAUGGGGGCAACCCUGAACAAGCCAUGCCGCGUGCAGGAAGACGGCCCUAUGAGUUGUAAACUGCUUUUAAACAGGGAUAAAGCACAGUAUGUAUACUGUGUUGAAGGUACUGUAAGAAUAAGGAUCGGCUAACUCCGUGCCAGCCGCCGCCGUAA